RNAcentral lists this ribosomal RNA (388 nucleotides) under uncultured bacterium. RNAcentral's name for it is "bacterial SSU rRNA". It matches the Rfam family "Bacterial small subunit ribosomal RNA", at positions 532 to 921 of the family's 1533-position model. The record is from RNAcentral.
GCACAGGAUGGACGGGAGAUACUGGGCGUAAGCGCACGCAUGCGGUUGGAUAAGUUAGAUGUGAAAGCCCCGGGCUCAACCUGGGAAUUGCAUUUAAAACUGUCCAGCUAGAGUCUUGUAGAGGGGGGUAGAAUUCCAGGUGUAGCGGUGAAAUGCGUAGAGAUCUGGAGGAAUACCGGUGGCGAAGGCGGCCCCCUGGACAAAGACUGACGCUCAGGUGCGAAAGCGUGGGGAGCAAACAGGAUUAGAUACCCUGGUAGUCCACGCCGUAAACGAUGUCGAUUUGGAGGCUGUGUCCUUGAGACGUGGCUUCCGGAGCUAACGCGUUAAAUCGACCGCCUGGGGAGUACGGCCGCAAGGUUAAAACUCAAAGGAAUUGACGGGAAGG